Non-coding RNA from Oryctolagus cuniculus (rabbit), 1796 nucleotides. The record is from RefSeq and is a predicted model, not a curated record. Lineage: Eukaryota; Metazoa; Chordata; Mammalia; Lagomorpha; Leporidae.
AAGAACCACUGUAAUCCAAAAGUUGUACUUAUGAAAUUUAUAUUUAUUAAAUAAAAGUUUUCUAUAAAACAAAGGAAAGCUGACAAGAAUUGGGUCCGCUGGUCUUUACAGGCUGUAGUUAACUACAUACCCUAUACCUGUAAAACGGUCAUGUAAUCUUAGUAGAAAUUCUAAGCAUUUCAGUUUACCUACAAGUUAACCAAGGCAUAUUUUCACUAUACCUAAACUCCUACAUGUAGAUACUUUGAAAAAUCUAAGUGUAAAGGGUAUCAUGACUGCCUCACUUCUAAUGAAUAAAAUCCAGCGGAAGUACAGGACACCGACUCGAAGAUUCGGUGAGCGAGAGUGUGGUUUCCACCUUGGACGUGUUCUCUCGCUUUCCCACUCAUUCGUUCCGAGGGAAGCCCGGUACCUGUUGUGAGGCACCCUGUGGAGGGACCCAUGCAGCUGGGAACCUGGGGAGGCACCUGGCCCACAGCCAGUGAGGGACAGGGCGCCCAGGAACUGGAUCCUCCCCCAGCUGAGCCUGUCCACAAGCCUGCAGUGUAGCCUGGCAGUUUGGCCGCAACCUCAUGAGACAUCUUGAGCUAAAGGCGCCCAGCCAUGCUGUGCCUGGGCUUCCAAUCCAUACAAACUGUGAGAUAAUAACGCGUGUGUAAUUUUUUAAGUGGCGAUGUUUUGGGUGAAAUUUAUUAUCCAGCCAUAGAUAGCUCACGUAAGAUUUCUCUUUCCAGUUGUAUUUUACUCAUUUUCUAAAUAAAUGGCUUGCACUUGAGUUGCCAGUGCACGCUCUGCUUCUCAGAGGAGCUCACACUGAGAACACACACGAAGAAACGGAGACCCAGAGAGAUGGAGAGAAGCAGGCGUCCUGCUCUGGGCUGGUGAUGGAGACAGGACCAGGACACGGAGUCUGAGUCUGGUGCUCACAGCGCCACUUCCCAAGGCUUGCUGGGGAAGGAGCAGGCUUUGUGCUGAAGAUUCCGAGUUUGCAGAGUUCUGGAGCAUCUCUGCAGGACUGCUUAUCUUUCUUGCCAGUGGGGCCUGGCUACCUCCAGUAGAUGGAAGAUCCACUUUAGCUCUGAGAGGCAACCACCGCCAUAAUUUCCAGUUGACAAAUGAGAAAACUGAAGGUCACACAGCAUGAGAAGAACAUGCUUAGGCAGUUACCAGUCCAAGCGGCAUGGAGACACACAAGUGCGUUGGGAUCCAAGUGCAGCUUGGAGCCAAGCACAGCUGAACGUAGCCCAGAUCUGCUGGCCCCAGCUGACACUGUUCUCCUGGGGGUCCAUCUUCAGUAAUCCACAUGAUCCUGAAUCCUGGCUUCGGGCUCUGCUUCUUGGGGACACAGAUUCCCUUGAGGGUUAUUUCCUAUCAUCACGGUCCAGGAUUGUGAAAAUAUCUUUAAGAAAAAAAUAUUUUUCAUCAGUGCCUACAACAAAUGAAUCACACAGACAAUUUGCUACAACGGGCUUUUUCUUUUUGUGCAAAGGCAAGAAAUCCUGAGUGGGGAAGCUGAGACUUCACCAGCCUUGUGGUUCUGAAAUUGCUCACCCAGACAUGAAACAAAAUUGAAAAAUCAGAAAGAUCAGUUUGAAAGGAAGAGAAUGCUUGAUGGCCUGGGAACCAAGUGAGCGCUCAUUUUGCUUUUGUGCUAUUAGAUGAAGAUACCUGGAUCAAAAGAGGACUCGGAAACAUAAACAUCAAGGAAUUGACAGGCAGGGCUAAAAGACUCGGGCAAAAUGUUUAUCAUACAACAGCAAAAAAAAAAAAAAAAAAAAAAAAAGCAAAACCAAAAA